CCCCUCUCAGGGUCGCACCUGGAGAGUUUCCAGUACUCUACCAGUCUCGGCUACAGGAGGGAGAGUCAAGCAGAGGUCGACCCAUUCCAUUCCUAGCUCGGGCAGCGGCUAACGAGUGGAAGGCGAUCUGCUACAAAU
RNAcentral lists this small nucleolar RNA (138 nucleotides) under Ornithorhynchus anatinus (platypus). Lineage: Eukaryota; Metazoa; Chordata; Mammalia; Monotremata; Ornithorhynchidae. The record is from RNAcentral.